CAGUCGCCGCGGUAAUACGUAGGGUGCGAGCGUUAAUCGGAAUUACUGGGCGUAAAGCGUGCGCAGGCGGUUCGUUAAGACAGAUGUGAAAUCCCCGGGCUUAACCUGGGAACUGCAUUUGUGACUGACGGGCUAGAGUAUGGCAGAGGGGGGUAGAAUUCCACGUGUAGCAGUGAAAUGCGUAGAGAUGUGGAGGAAUACCGAUGGCGAAGGCAGCCCCCUGGGCCAAUACUGACGCUCAUGCACGAAAGCGUGGGGAGCAAACAGGAUUAGAUACCCCCGUAGUCCCUGUCUCUUAUCA
RNAcentral lists this ribosomal RNA (301 nucleotides) under uncultured bacterium. Its description in RNAcentral is "partial 16S ribosomal RNA". It matches the Rfam family "Bacterial small subunit ribosomal RNA", at positions 509 to 809 of the family's 1533-position model. The record is from RNAcentral.